Lactuca sativa (garden lettuce) is the source of this 519-nucleotide long non-coding RNA. RefSeq lists it as uncharacterized. NCBI's taxonomy places the organism in Eukaryota, Viridiplantae, Streptophyta, Magnoliopsida, Asterales, Asteraceae. The record is from RefSeq and is a predicted model, not a curated record.
UACCAUAAUGGUGUUUUAAAAAAAAAAACAUAUUUACCAUACUGGUGUAGUAUUGAAAAUAUUUACCAAUUAAGGGUUAAAGUAUACAGAGUCAAAAUUAGAACUCAAAAACAUAAUACACCCCGACGUCGCUACUAUCUUCCUCAAGCGAGCCCGCCUCCACCUCAUUGUCUUCUACGAUUCUCGGCGACAUUGUCUUCUUCGAUUCCGGCGUCGGCGAAUCCGCCUCCGCCACAGCCGAUGCCGAUCGAUCCUCUCCUCCAGAGCACACGCCGGCUGAUUUUCUACAACAUCAUAGCAGCCGAUUUCUAGAUUCUUGAUAAUUAGGGCUCUUUUUGGUUGAAGAACAAACGAUUGUGAAGAAGGUAUUUAAUAUCCAAAAGGCAGUAGAAAAAUUGUUGGCAAGAGCUAGAGAGUAGAGAGCAAUUUUAGGUGUGAAUAGAUCUUGAAUUUGUAACCGACUUAUGCUUUGAUUACUUCUUUAGAUUUUAUUUUAUUUUCUUUAUUGUUUUUUGAAUU